GAAGGGAGCUUGCUCCCGGAUGUUAGCGGCGGACGGGUGAGUAACACGUGGGUAACCUGCCUGUAAGACUGGGAUAACUCCGGGAAACCGGAGCUAAUACCGGAUAGUUCCUUGAACCGCAUGGUUCAAGGAUGAAAGACGGUUUCGGCUGUCACUUACAGAUGGACCCGCGGCGCAUUAGCUAGUUGGUGGGGUAAUGGCUCACCAAGGCGACGAUGCGUAGCCGACCUGAGAGGGUGAUCGGCCACACUGGGACUGAGACACGGCCCAGACUCCUACGGGAGGCAGCAGUAGGGAAUCUUCCGCAAUGGACGAAAGUCUGACGGAGCAACGCCGCGUGAGUGAUGAAGGUUUUCGGAUCGUAAAGCUCUGUUGUUAGGGAAGAACAAGUGCGAGAGUAACUGCUCGCACCUUGACGGUACCUAACCAGAAAGCCACGGCUAACUACGUGCCAGCAGCCGCGGUAAUACGUAGGUGGCAAGCGUUGUCCGGAAUUAUUGGGCGUAAAGGGCUCGCAGGCGGUUUCUUAAGUCUGAUGUGAAAGCCCCCGGCUCAACCGGGGAGGGUCAUUGGAAACUGGGAAACUUGAGUGCAGAAGAGGAGAGUGGAAUUCCACGUGUAGCGGUGAAAUGCGUAGAGAUGUGGAGGAACACCAGUGGCGAAGGCGACUCUCUGGUCUGUAACUGACGCUGAGGAGCGAAAGCGUGGGGAGCGAACAGGAUUAGAUACCCUGGUAGUCCACGCCGUAAACGAUGAGUGCUAAGUGUUAGGGGGUUU
This 777-nucleotide ribosomal RNA is filed under the name bacterium. RNAcentral's name for it is "bacterial SSU rRNA". It matches the Rfam family "Bacterial small subunit ribosomal RNA", at positions 71 to 833 of the family's 1533-position model. The record is from RNAcentral.